UACGGAGGGUGCAAGCGUUAAUCGGAAUUACUGGGCGUAAAGCGCACGCAGGCGGUUUGUUAAGUCAGAUGUGAAAUCCCCGAGCUCAACUUGGGAACUGCAUUUGAAACUGGCAAGCUAGAGUCUUGUAGAGGGGGGUAGAAUUCCAGGUGUAGCGGUGAAAUGCGUAGAGAUCUGGAGGAAUACCGGUGGCGAAGGCGGCCCCCUGGACAAAGACUGACGCUCAGGUGCGAAAGCGUGGGGAGCAAACAGG
Molecule: ribosomal RNA, 253 nt
Filed under: uncultured bacterium
Lineage: Bacteria
Description: partial 16S ribosomal RNA
Rfam family: Bacterial small subunit ribosomal RNA
Source: RNAcentral